GGUGCUCUAGACUAAUUGGUUAGGUCAGUUCCAUGAAAUGGAGGAGAUGCGGGUUCAAAUCCCGCAGGUGCCC
Acanthoscelides obtectus is the source of this 73-nucleotide non-coding RNA. The record is from the annotation of a GenBank genome assembly. NCBI's taxonomy places the organism in Eukaryota, Metazoa, Arthropoda, Insecta, Coleoptera, Chrysomelidae.